UCACUUACCUGGACGGGGUCAAUGGGCGAUCAAGAAGGCCCAUAGCCUAGGUUGGUGACCUCCAUUGCACACUGGAGGGGUGCUCUCCUAUGGUCUCCCCAAGUGGGAGAGCCAACGUCAUAAUUUGUGUUAGUGGGGGCCUGCGUUCGCGCGGCCCCUUU
Molecule: small nuclear RNA, 161 nt
Organism: Prunus persica (peach)
Lineage: Eukaryota; Viridiplantae; Streptophyta; Magnoliopsida; Rosales; Rosaceae
Rfam family: U1 spliceosomal RNA
About the family: U1 is a small nuclear RNA (snRNA) component of the spliceosome (involved in pre-mRNA splicing). Its 5' end forms complementary base pairs with the 5' splice junction, thus defining the 5' donor site of an intron.
Source: Rfam